GGUUCCAUAGUGUAGCAGUUAGCACCUCUGCUUUACAAGCAGAAGGUCCUGGAUUUGUGCCCCAGUGGAGCCA
RNAcentral lists this transfer RNA (73 nucleotides) under Pteropus alecto (black flying fox). It matches the Rfam family "tRNA". Rfam says of the family: Transfer RNA (tRNA) molecules are approximately 80 nucleotides in length. Their secondary structure includes four short double-helical elements and three loops (D, anti-codon, and T loops). RNAcentral also lists the same sequence under 1 other name. Lineage: Eukaryota; Metazoa; Chordata; Mammalia; Chiroptera; Pteropodidae. The record is from Rfam by way of RNAcentral.